Molecule: long non-coding RNA, 1009 nt
Organism: Passer domesticus (house sparrow)
Lineage: Eukaryota; Metazoa; Chordata; Aves; Passeriformes; Passeridae
Exons: 3
Source: RefSeq, a predicted model, not a curated record
GGCCUGGGACUUUCUACUCCCAGCUCUGGGGGACAGGCAGCACUGCCACACUGUCCCCUCAAUGCCCUGUCACCUGUCCUGCCUGGUGACCCAUGGGGGGACCACAGGGGCUCCUCCUGUCACCCCACAAUCUGUGACUCUGGUCAUCAGGACCAAGGUGAGAUGAUGUUCUUAAUUUACCAUGUGUGAAUUCGUCAUAUCUUCAGAGAAAGAUCUGCUGUGGAGAGUCAAUGUGCAGUAUAGCAUAGGUCCUCAUAUAAAUAUUACGCUACAAUAGGAAUUGGUACUCAUUUGAGUGCUUGAUGUGGAAAACCUGCCUGUGCCAUCUUUGAAUAGUGUGUCGAUGUCUUUGCUACUUCUGGGAAUGAUGGUGAAGAAGAGACCACCAAAUCUACAACUUUAGUACAGAAAAUAAUGACACAAAUGACAGAUGAUUCAUCUUGUCUUGGUUGGCUGAGAUUCUUGUGCUGGAAAGAACUCAGCUCUUCCUGGAGAAUAUACUAAGAUAAGGCUGUUUAUAGCUUUGCCUCUUCUGUGAAUCACCUUAUAUCUGCAAGUUUCUUUUCUGGGUUCCAAAAAUACAGUGAGAUAUUGACAAAUUGGAUGGCUGACAGAUUGAACAAAUUCAUGAGAGGGAAUUCAGAAUUGAAAAAGAAGCCUUGAGGGAAAUAGUUUGUGAACAUAAGUAAAAUUAUACUUUGUCCUAAUGCUGACUAAGAUAAAACAUGAAACACAAAUUUGUAAAAUCCCGCUAAGGGCAUGGGAUGCACCAAAAGAAACAAACAGCAUAAGGGCACUUUCAGCCCUUCCAUAAAGAAGAGACACAGACAGUCCAACUUCCCAGAAAGGCAAAGAAAGCCUGGAAGUGCCCUUUUCUUCCCCCAGCACUGCAUGCACUCAGAAGCCAUAACUUUGGGAAUUAUGACUCCUUCCAGUCACUGUUCUUCUCAUAUAUUGUGGGUCUUAAAUAUGCUUCUUUGGACCUGUAGAAAUAAGGCUGAGGUGGCUC